Molecule: ribosomal RNA, 668 nt
Filed under: Vibrio sp. P714
Lineage: Bacteria; Pseudomonadati; Pseudomonadota; Gammaproteobacteria; Vibrionales; Vibrionaceae
Description: bacterial SSU rRNA
Rfam family: Bacterial small subunit ribosomal RNA
Source: RNAcentral
CAGGAUUAGAUACCCUGGUAGUCCACGCCGUAAACGAUGUCUACUUGGAGGUUGUGGCCUUGAGCCGUGGCUUUCGGAGCUAACGCGUUAAGUAGACCGCCUGGGGAGUACGGUCGCAAGAUUAAAACUCAAAUGAAUUGACGGGGGCCCGCACAAGCGGUGGAGCAUGUGGUUUAAUUCGAUGCAACGCGAAGAACCUUACCUACUCUUGACAUCCAGAGAAGCCAGCGGAGACGCAGGUGUGCCUUCGGGAGCUCUGAGACAGGUGCUGCAUGGCUGUCGUCAGCUCGUGUUGUGAAAUGUUGGGUUAAGUCCCGCAACGAGCGCAACCCUUAUCCUUGUUUGCCAGCGAGUAAUGUCGGGAACUCCAGGGAGACUGCCGGUGAUAAACCGGAGGAAGGUGGGGACGACGUCAAGUCAUCAUGGCCCUUACGAGUAGGGCUACACACGUGCUACAAUGGCGCAUACAGAGGGCAGCAAGCUAGCGAUAGUGAGCGAAUCCCAAAAAGUGCGUCGUAGUCCGGAUUGGAGUCUGCAACUCGACUCCAUGAAGUCGGAAUCGCUAGUAAUCGUGAAUCAGAAUGUCACGGUGAAUACGUUCCCGGGCCUUGUACACACCGCCCGUCACACCAUGGGAGUGGGCUGCAAAAGAAGUGGGUAGUUUAACC